CGGAAAUAGCUCAGUGGUAGAGCACCACCUUGCCAUGGUGGGGGUCGCGGGUUCGAAUCCCGUUUUCCG
RNAcentral lists this transfer RNA (69 nucleotides) under Lentilactobacillus senioris. It matches the Rfam family "tRNA". From Rfam's summary of the family: Transfer RNA (tRNA) molecules are approximately 80 nucleotides in length. Their secondary structure includes four short double-helical elements and three loops (D, anti-codon, and T loops). Lineage: Bacteria; Bacillati; Bacillota; Bacilli; Lactobacillales; Lactobacillaceae. The record is from RNAcentral.